CCUACGGGAGGCAGCAGCAAGGAAUCUUCCGCAAUGGGGGCAACCCUGACGGAGCAACGCCGCGUGGGGGAUGACGCCCUUCGGGGUGUCAACCCCUUUUCUGCGGGAAGAAGGCGCUCACGCGCUUGACGGUACCGGAGGAAGAACGACCGGCUAACUACCUGCCUACAUCCGCGGUAAUACCUACGGUCCGAGCGUUGUCCGGAGUUACUGGGCGUAAAGCGCGCGCAGGCGGCGGUGCUGGCCCGGCGUGAAAGCCCCCGGCUCAACCGGGGAGGGUCGCCCGGGACCGCACCGCUUGAUGGCGGUAGGGGCUGGUGGAAUGCCUGGUGUAAUGGUGAAAUGCGUGGAGAUCUGGCGGAAUACCCGUGGCGAAGGCGGCCAGCUGGGCCGUCCCUGACGCUGAAGCUGAAACGCGUGUGGAGCGAACGGGAUUAUAUACCCCGGUAGUCCACCCGGUAAACGAUGCCGACUACGCGUGGGGGGAGUUGACCCCCUCCGUGCCGCAACCAACUGCCGGAGUCUGCCGCCUGGGGAAUCCGGCCG
This 546-nucleotide ribosomal RNA is filed under the name uncultured bacterium. RNAcentral's name for it is "bacterial SSU rRNA". It matches the Rfam family "Bacterial small subunit ribosomal RNA", at positions 338 to 888 of the family's 1533-position model. The record is from RNAcentral.